This 497-nucleotide ribosomal RNA is filed under the name uncultured bacterium. Its description in RNAcentral is "partial 16S ribosomal RNA". It matches the Rfam family "Bacterial small subunit ribosomal RNA", at positions 28 to 507 of the family's 1533-position model. The record is from RNAcentral.
GAUGAACGCUGGCGGCGUGCCUAAUACAUGCAAGUCGAGCGAACGGACGAGAAGCUUGCUUCUCUGAUGUUAGCGGCGGACGGGUGAGUAACACGUGGAUAACCUACCUAUAAGACUGGGAUAACUUCGGGAAACCGGAGCUAAUACCGGAUAAUAUUUUGAACCGCAUGGUUCAAAAGUGAAAGACGGUCUUGCUGUCACUUAUAGAUGGACCCGCGCUGCAUUAGCUAGUUGGUAAGGUAACGGCUUACCAAGGCAACGAUGCAUAGCCGACCUGAGAGGGUGAUCGGCCACACUGGAACUGAGACACGGUCCAGACUCCUACGGGAGGCAGCAGUAGGGAAUCUUCCGCAAUGGGCGAAAGCCUGACGGAGCAACGCCGCGUGAGUGAUGAAGGUCUUCGGAUCGUAAAACCCUGUUAUUAGGGAAGAACAUAUGUGUAAGUAACUGUGCACAUCUUGACGGUACCUAAUCAGAAAGCCACGGCUAACUACGUG